This 511-nucleotide ribosomal RNA is filed under the name Ramaria suecica. RNAcentral describes it as "eukaryotic LSU rRNA". It matches the Rfam family "Eukaryotic large subunit ribosomal RNA", at positions 184 to 656 of the family's 3401-position model. The record is from RNAcentral. Lineage: Eukaryota; Fungi; Basidiomycota; Agaricomycetes; Gomphales; Gomphaceae.
AGUCCCUUGGAACAGGGCGUCAUAGAGGGUGAGAAUCCCGUCUUUGACACGGACUACCAGUGCUUUGUGAUGCGCUCUCAAAGAGUCGAGUUGUUUGGGAAUGCAGCUCAAAAUGGGUGGUAAAUUCCAUCUAAAGCUAAAUAUUGGCGAGAGACCGAUAGCGAACAAGUACCGUGAGGGAAAGAUGAAAAGCACUUUGGAAAGAGAGUUAAACAGUACGUGAAAUUGUUGAAAGGGAAACGAUUGAAGUCAGUCGCGUCUUCCGAGAUUCAAUCUUGCUUAACGGCUUGGUGUAUUUCUCGGAUCAGACGGGCCAGCAUCAAUUUGAAGGGUUGGAAAAAGGCAUUGAUAAUGUGGCACUCUUUCGUGGAGUGUGUUAUAGAUCUCUGUCGCAUACAACACUUUGGAUUGAGGAUCGCAGCACGCUUUUGGGAUUUAUUUCAAAGGUCGGGGUUCGCCCACGUUCACGUGCUUAGGAUGCUGGCGUAAUGGCUUUAAACGACCCGUCUUG